CCGAGUUUACAACUCCCAAACCCCCAUGUGAACGUUACCAAACUGUUGCCUCGGCGGGUCAUUCAUGCCCCGGGCGCGUCGCAGCCCCGGACCAAGGCGCCCGCCGGAGGACCAACCAAAACUCUUCUGUAUGUCCCUCGCGGACUUUUAUAAUUCUGAACCAUCUCGGCGCCCCUAGCGGGCGUUUCGAAAAUGAAUCA
Molecule: unclassified non-coding RNA, 200 nt
Filed under: uncultured Trichoderma
Lineage: Eukaryota; Fungi; Ascomycota; Sordariomycetes; Hypocreales; Hypocreaceae
Also listed under: 1 other name
Description: sequence contains ITS1
Source: RNAcentral